This 253-nucleotide ribosomal RNA is filed under the name uncultured bacterium. Its description in RNAcentral is "partial 16S ribosomal RNA". It matches the Rfam family "Bacterial small subunit ribosomal RNA", at positions 524 to 776 of the family's 1533-position model. The record is from RNAcentral.
UACGGAGGAUCCGAGCGUUAUCCGGAUUUAUUGGGUUUAAAGGGUGCGUAGGUGGCCUGUUAAGUCAGGGGUGAAAGACGGUAGCUCAACUAUCGCAGUGCCCUUGAUACUGAUGGGCUUGAAUGAACUAGAGGUAGGCGGAAUGUGACAAGUAGCGGUGAAAUGCAUAGAUAUGUCACAGAACACCAGUUGCGAAGGCAGCUUACUAUGGUUUUAUUGACACUGAGGCACGAAAGCGUGGGGAUCAAACAGG